Molecule: ribosomal RNA, 194 nt
Filed under: uncultured bacterium
Lineage: Bacteria
Description: partial 16S ribosomal RNA
Rfam family: Bacterial small subunit ribosomal RNA
Source: RNAcentral
GCAACUCGCCUACAUGAAGUCGGAAUCGCUAGUAAUCGCGGAUCAGCAUGCCGCGGUGAAUACGUUCCCGGGCCUUGUACACACCGCCCGUCACACCAUGGGAGUCGGUAACACCCGAAGCCUGUAGUCUAACCGCAAGGAGGACGCAGUCGAAGGUGGGAUUGAUGACUGGGGUGAAGUCGUAACAAGGUAGC